This 332-nucleotide unclassified non-coding RNA is filed under the name soil metagenome. RNAcentral describes it as "partial contains 5.8S ribosomal RNA, internal transcribed spacer 2, and large subunit ribosomal RNA". The stretch from base 1 to 120 matches the Rfam family "5.8S ribosomal RNA", at positions 35 to 154 of the family's 154-position model. The record is from RNAcentral.
GAUGAAGAACGCAGUGAAAUGCGAUAAGUAGUGUGAAUUGCAGAAUUCAGUGAAUCAUCGAAUCUUUGAACGCACAUUGCGCCCUUUGGUAUUCCUUAGGGCAUGCCUGUUCGAGCGUCAUUUAAACCUUCAAGCUAAGCUUGGUGUUGGGUGACUGUCCGCUUCACGGCGGACUCGCCUCAAAAUUAUUGGCGGCCGGUACAUUGGCUUCGAGCGCAGCAGAAACGCGAACUCGGGCCCGUCGUAUUGGCUCCCAGAAGCUAUCUUCACAAUUUUGACCUCGGAUCAGGUAGGGAUACCCGCUGAACUUAAGCAUAUCAAUAAGCGGAGGA